RNAcentral lists this ribosomal RNA (495 nucleotides) under uncultured bacterium. Its description in RNAcentral is "bacterial SSU rRNA". It matches the Rfam family "Bacterial small subunit ribosomal RNA", at positions 28 to 524 of the family's 1533-position model. The record is from RNAcentral.
GAUGAACGCUAGCGGGAGGCCUAACACAUGCAAGCCGAGCGGUAGAGAUUCUUCGGAAUCUUGAGAGCGGCGUACGGGUGCGGAACACGUGUGCAACCUACCUUUAUCUGGAGGAUAGCCUUUCGAAAGGAAGAUUAAUACUCCAUAAUAUAUUGAUUGGCAUCAAUUGAUAUUGAAAGCUCCGGCGGAUAGAGAUGGGCACGCGCAAGAUUAGUUAGUUGGUGAGGUAACGGCUCACCAAGACGAUGAUCUUUAGGGGGCCUGAGAGGUGAUCCCCCACACUGGUACUGAGACACGGACCAGACUCCUACGGGAGGCAGCAGUGAGGAAUAUUGGUCAAUGGGUGCAAGCCUGAACCAGCCAUCCCGCGUGAAGGACGACUGCCCUAUGGGUUGUAAACUUCUUUUGUAUAGGGAUAAACCUACCCUCGUGAGGGUAGCUGAAGGUACUAUACGAAUAAGCACCGGCUAACUCCGUGCCAGCAGCCGCGGUAAU